CUCGUUUCGUUAUUUUAAUAAUCACAACUUAUUUAUGUAUAUUCUUGCAAUGAAAUACAAGUCAUCAAUAAUUUGGUAGCUAAAUAUUGCUUUGAUAUCUUGACUAAUUUUGAACAACUAUAAAAUAAUACAGUAUUUUAUACGUCCUGUUUAGUUAUAGUAGUUAACGAUUUUGUAAUUUAAUAUUUUUAUAAUACAAUGUUAUGUAUUCAUUAUGUACCAGUGUGUUGGUAUUUUGUUAUGAAUAAAGUUAUUAUUAUAAAAUGUCGUCAACUAUACUUUCUACCCAACUUCGGCCACCUUUGUAAAUUAGGAAUCUAUCAUAAUUUACGUAUCCAUUCACUCCACUCCCGUCAAACACCCAGGGGCGGCGCUAACAUUUUUUCGGACAACAUAUUUAUCAGUCAUAUUUUGUAUUUAACUACCGUUGUUCUUUCCAUUUUGCAUUCAUUUUUUCGUACAUUUCUCCACAUUUUAGCUAUCAUUCUUAAUAUUUAAUCGGUGUCACUCAAACAUUUUUUCCUUCCUAUCCAAAUCCAUGCUUUGCCGACUGCAUACAGAUUCAAUAUUUUACCGACUAGCUGAUGAAGGGGGUGCACACUGGUCCUGCAACAAUACUCAAUGCUUCGUAACAUUCCUGUAUGUGCAGUUCUAAAUUUUUCUACAAGAAAAAAACGGCAACCACAUACGAUGAAUUUCAAGGCUUGCUUUGAUUGACUUCAUAUAUAUUGCUUGGUAAUAUCCCGGCAUGAUCAAUUGCACUAACACCGCACACAUCGUGUCAUCGUCUGAAAUAAUGUUUUCCUUGCAAACAAUUAGAUAUCGAAGUACAAUUCUAUACGUAACUGGAAUGAUAUAAAUUUAACGCCGGUAUAUCCAGAAUACUGCUCUACUUCUGUUGCAAUUAUAAUAGUGGCCAUUGUGAAAACUAUUCAAUUUUAAACUGAAUAUAUAUGUGAGUUCAAGUUGGCUAGGUGUAAAAAUUGCUGUCGUAACAAACCGAGUCGUUUGAUUUUGAUACAAAAUAAUCCCAGAGUGAUAUACAAGUGGCUCUGAUGUGACUUCAGUCUCUUCAAUGACUGUAACUGGCAAUAUGUCUUGUUUGUUGUCAAGCAUCAAAGUCAAUUUAGAACGGAAUAAUUUUGGAUAACAAAGCACUGUGUUUAUGUGAUGUGUCUGUGACCGACUCAAGUUUUUGCUGAACGAUGAAAUAUAGUUCCAAUGUCUUUUAUGUUUCUGUAUCGUCAUAGUAGACGUGUAAUAAAACGACG
Non-coding RNA from Paramuricea clavata, 1271 nucleotides. NCBI's taxonomy places the organism in Eukaryota, Metazoa, Cnidaria, Anthozoa, Malacalcyonacea, Plexauridae. The record is from the annotation of a GenBank genome assembly.